CCUACGGGUGGCAGCAGUGAGGAAUAUUGGUCAAUGGGCGUAAGCCUGAACCAGCCAAGUCGCGUGAGGGAUGAAGGUUCUAUGGAUCGUAAACCUCUUUUAUAAGGGAGUAAAGUGCGGCACGUGUCCCGUUUUGUAUGUACCUUAUGAAUAAGGAUCGGCUAACUCCGUGCCAGCAGCCGCGGUAAUACGGAGGGGUCGAGCGUUAUCCGGAUUUAGUGGGUUUAAAGGGUGCGUAGGCGGCCUUUUAAGUCAGCGGUGAAAGUCUGUGGCUCAACCAUAGAAUUGCCGUUGAAACGGGGAGGCUUGGGUAUGUUUAAGGCAGGCGGAAG
Molecule: ribosomal RNA, 332 nt
Filed under: uncultured bacterium
Lineage: Bacteria
Description: partial 16S ribosomal RNA
Rfam family: Bacterial small subunit ribosomal RNA
Source: RNAcentral